Molecule: long non-coding RNA, 1235 nt
Organism: Malus domestica (apple)
Lineage: Eukaryota; Viridiplantae; Streptophyta; Magnoliopsida; Rosales; Rosaceae
Source: RefSeq, a predicted model, not a curated record
AUCGUUUCGAGUUGGAACAAGUGGGUUUUAUGAGCCUUCGGCUUUUGCUUCCCUUUAGGCAGCAGGUGAUGUGGGCGAGAUGCCAAAAGCUAGCUAAUAAGUCAAAAUAGAAGAAAGGAGAUAAAUGCAUCAAACUGAUUUUUGUCUAUAAAAGCAUCUUUUGAGAGAGAGAGAGAGAGCUGCAGUUGGGUUUUUCAGCAGUUACCGAGGAAGAAAGAGGCAAAAGUCUGGUUCAAUUUCAGGUUUUGAUGGAGAAAGUUGUGAAUUCAUAACGAAGGUAUUGACGCGCCUCAAUUUGAACGUGUGGCUGAUAUUGGAGACUUAACCAUGCGAUUCUGAUUGAGCCGCGUCAAUAUCUCCUCUUGCAUCUCUCUCCAUCUAUCCGUUCAACUCAACAUCAUCUAUUCAUGCAUGUUCGAACCUAUUUUGCAGGACCAGCAUGUAUAAAGUGUACCAAACUUUGGCUGUUACCAUUGACUCGAACACAUAAGAUAGAACAGUUCACACUUGUAUAUACCUUGAGUUCUAAACCAAUUUCGUUUUCACUAGAGGAAUAUAACUGAUCUAAAAUUUCAAAUGAAAUUACAGAAAAAUCUAAAAACGUUAAAAGUGAAAGAGACUUGGGGAGAGAGAAAACAGACAUAUGCAUGCAGGACUGUCAAUGAAAGAAUCGUUUUAAUUCGAUAUGGUCCAAGGGCUUCAGGAAUCUCAGAUCCAGAACCUAGCUGGUGAAGUGGGAACCAUAACUGCAAUGUGAGUAGGUCCUACGAUCCUUUUCUUUCACUUGGCUUUGCAUUAAAAAUUUCCACCAUCCCUGUCGAUUACCAAGUACUAAUUAACUUCUAGCUCUACCUAGAAGGUUUCUCCAACGGCUGGUCUAAGGAAUCAACGUGUGUAGUGUUGUAGACUCAUGGAGAUAUAUCAUCGAUGGAAAAAGCAAAUCUCUCACAAAACGUCCAAUCGAAUAGUUAUACGUGUGGUUUAUGGAAAGAAACUUUCAUUUAGCCGAUCAUAUAUGUUUCCUUGUUUAUAUAACAUAUAUCAAAAAAAAAGAAAAAGAAAAAAGAGUGUGUUGUGAUUUACUUGUUUGUAUAUGUAAUUGUAUGUGUAUGAUCUUUAUCUUUAAGUAAUGAAUGAAAGAAAGAGUGUACAUAUGAGUUUUCUCAAUUUGUUACCAGACAAAUUGGUUGGAAAACCUAACCUUUUUAUUUACUUGUUUAUAAUAUUUUGAGAAA